UGUGUCUGUAGCGCAGCUGGAUAGCGCGUCAGACUCCGACUCUGAAGGUCGCGGGUUCGAAUCCCGCCAGACACAU
This 76-nucleotide transfer RNA is filed under the name Fusobacterium naviforme. RNAcentral describes it as "tRNA-Arg(ccg)". It matches the Rfam family "tRNA". Rfam says of the family: Transfer RNA (tRNA) molecules are approximately 80 nucleotides in length. Their secondary structure includes four short double-helical elements and three loops (D, anti-codon, and T loops). The record is from RNAcentral. Lineage: Bacteria; Fusobacteriati; Fusobacteriota; Fusobacteriia; Fusobacteriales; Fusobacteriaceae.